RNAcentral lists this non-coding RNA (21 nucleotides) under Caenorhabditis elegans. The record is from RNAcentral. Lineage: Eukaryota; Metazoa; Nematoda; Chromadorea; Rhabditida; Rhabditidae.
UUCAGAAUCUGCUGACUUGUU